This 253-nucleotide ribosomal RNA is filed under the name uncultured bacterium. RNAcentral's name for it is "partial 16S ribosomal RNA". It matches the Rfam family "Bacterial small subunit ribosomal RNA", at positions 524 to 776 of the family's 1533-position model. The record is from RNAcentral.
UACAGAGGUCUCAAGCGUUGUUCGGAUUCCUUGGGCGUAAAGAGCGUGUAGGCGGCCAGGUAGGUCAGCUGUGAAAACUCGAGGCUCAACCUCGAGACGCCGGUUGAAACCAUCUGGCUAGAGUCCGGAAGAGGAGAGUGGAAUUCCUGGUGUAGCGGUGAAAUGCGCAGAUAUCAGGAAGAACACCCGUGGCUAAGGCGGCUCUCUAGUACGGUACUGACGCUGAGACGCGAAAGCGUGGGGAGCGAACAGG